RNAcentral lists this ribosomal RNA (407 nucleotides) under uncultured bacterium. RNAcentral's name for it is "bacterial SSU rRNA". It matches the Rfam family "Bacterial small subunit ribosomal RNA", at positions 355 to 776 of the family's 1533-position model. The record is from RNAcentral.
CAAGGAAUUUUCCGCAAUGGGCGAAAGCCUGACGGAGCAACGCCGCGUGGGGGAUGACGCUUUUCGGAGUGUAAACCCCUUUUCUCAGGGACGAAGACAAUGACGGUACCUGAGGAAUAAGGACCGGCUAACUACGUGCCAGCAGCCGCGGUAAUACGUAGGGUCCGAGCGUUGUCCGGAGUUACUGGGCGUAAAGCGCGCGCAGGCGGUUCGGUAAGACUGGCGUGAAAGCCCCCGGCUCAACCGGGGAGGGUCGUUGGUGACUGCCGGACUUGAAGACAGCAGGGGCAGGUGGAAUUCCCGGUGUAGUGGUGAAAUGCGUAGAGAUCGGGAGGAACACCCGUGGCGAAGGCGGCCUGCUGGGCUGAUCUUGACGCUGAGGCGCGAAGGCGUGGGGAGCGAACGGG